Molecule: ribosomal RNA, 469 nt
Filed under: uncultured Microsporidia
Lineage: Eukaryota; Fungi; Microsporidia
Description: SSU rRNA
Rfam family: Microsporidia small subunit ribosomal RNA
Source: RNAcentral
CACCAGGUUGAUUCUGCCUGACGUGUGCGCUAGUCUUGAGGAUUUAGCCAUGCAUGCCAAGCGAAGCUUAUGUGAAGCGGCGGACAGCUCAGUAAUACAGUUAUUAUUUACUCGUGGUAUGUAUAUGGAUAACCAUGGUAAACUAUGGCUAAUACAUGAACAGGUUAUCAUAAUGGUGAGACAUUGGUAACGGACAGGAGGCGACCACGAUUAAGUUUCUGGCCUAUCAGCUAUUAGAAGGUAGGGUAAUGGCCUACCUUGGCUAUGACGGGUAACGGGGGAUCAGUGUCUGAUACCGGAGAGGGAGCCUGAGAAAUAGCUCCCACGUCUAAGGAUGGCAGCAGGCGCGAAACUUACCCAAUCUCUUUAUGGAGGAGGUAGUGAAGAGACAUGAGAUAUAUAUCUACAGACUAUACAAUAAAGUAGUAUAGGAUCGACUGGAGGGCAAGUCUGGUGCCAGCAGCCGCGG